RNAcentral lists this transfer RNA (82 nucleotides) under Amylostereum chailletii. Its description in RNAcentral is "tRNA-Phe". It matches the Rfam family "tRNA". Rfam says of the family: Transfer RNA (tRNA) molecules are approximately 80 nucleotides in length. Their secondary structure includes four short double-helical elements and three loops (D, anti-codon, and T loops). Lineage: Eukaryota; Fungi; Basidiomycota; Agaricomycetes; Russulales; Stereaceae. The record is from RNAcentral.
GCCGGAAUAGCUCAGCUGGGAGAGCAACAGACUGAAGUUGUUUGAUUUCUGGAGGUCCCGUGUUCAAUCCACGGUUCUGGCA